Molecule: ribosomal RNA, 711 nt
Filed under: uncultured Enterobacterales bacterium
Lineage: Bacteria; Pseudomonadati; Pseudomonadota; Gammaproteobacteria; Enterobacterales
Description: bacterial SSU rRNA
Rfam family: Bacterial small subunit ribosomal RNA
Source: RNAcentral
ACAGGAAGAAGCUUGCUUCUUUGCUGACGAGUGGCGGACGGGUGAGUAAUGUCUGGGAAACUGCCUGAUGGAGGGGGAUAACUACUGGAAACGGUAGCUAAUACCGCAUAACGUCGCAAGACCAAAGAGGGGGACCUUCGGGCCUCUUGCCAUCGGAUGUGCCCAGAUGGGAUUAGCUAGUAGGUGGGGUAACGGCUCACCUAGGCGACGAUCCCUAGCUGGUCUGAGAGGAUGACCAGCCACACUGGAACUGAGACACGGUCCAGACUCCUACGGGAGGCAGCAGUGGGGAAUAUUGCACAAUGGGCGCAAGCCUGAUGCAGCCAUGCCGCGUGUAUGAAGAAGGCCUUCGGGUUGUAAAGUACUUUCAGCGGGGAGGAAGGGAGUAAAGUUAAUACCUUUGCUCAUUGACGUUACCCGCAGAAGAAGCACCGGCUAACUCCGUGCCAGCAGCCGCGGUAAUACGGAGGGUGCAAGCGUUAAUCGGAAUUACUGGGCGUAAAGCGCACGCAGGCGGUUUGUUAAGUCAGAUGUGAAAUCCCCGGGCUCAACAUGGGAACUGCAUCUGAUACUGGCAAGCUUGAGUCUCGUAGAGGGGGGUAGAAUUCCAGGUGUAGCGGUGAAAUGCGUAGAGAUCUGGAGGAAUACCGGUGGCGAAGGCGGCCCCCUGGACGAAGACUGACGCUCAGGUGCGAAAGCGUGGGGAGCAAA